CGAAGGGGGCUAGCGUUGUUCGGAAUUACUGGGCGUAAAGCGCGUGUAGGCGGUUGCCCAAGUCGGGUGUGAAAGCCUUGAGCUCAACUCAAGAAAUGCACUCGGUACUGGGUGACUAGAGGACCGGAGAGGAUAGUGGAAUUCCCAGUGUAGUGGUGAAAUACGUAGAGAUUGGGAAGAACACCAGUGGCGAAGGCGGCUAUCUGGACGGUUUCUGACGCUAAGACGCGAAAGCGUGGGGAGCAAACAGGAUUAGAUACCCUGGUAGUCCACGCCGUAAACGAUGGGUGCUAGACGUUGGCGAGCUUGCUCGUCAGUGUCGCAGCUAACGCGUUAAGCACCCCGCCUGGGGAGUACGCCGCAAGGUUG
Molecule: ribosomal RNA, 369 nt
Filed under: uncultured organism
Description: bacterial SSU rRNA
Rfam family: Bacterial small subunit ribosomal RNA
Source: RNAcentral